UUUCCGUAGGUGAACCUGCGGAAGGAUCAUUAUUGUAUAACCGAGGUGCGAGGGCUGUCGCUGACCCGAAAGGUCGUGCACGCCCGAGUGCCCUCACACACAUCCAUCUCACCCCUAUGUGCACCACCGCGUGGGUCCCCCUUUGGCUUGUUCGGAGGGGGGCUUACGUUUUCACACAAACUUUGUAUGCAGUGUAGAAUGUAUUUUUUUGUUUUUGCGAUCACGCAAUCAAUACAACUUUCAACAACGGAUCUCUUGGCUCUC
This 264-nucleotide unclassified non-coding RNA is filed under the name plant metagenome. RNAcentral's name for it is "partial contains small subunit ribosomal RNA, internal transcribed spacer 1, and 5.8S ribosomal RNA". The record is from RNAcentral.